UACGUAGGGGGCAAGCGUUGUCCGGAUUUAUUGGGCGUAAAGAGCUUGUAGGCGGUUUGUCGCGUCUGCUGUGAAAAUCCGGGGCUCAACCCCGGACUUGCAGUGGGUACGGGCAGACUAGAGUGUGGUAGGGGAGACUGGAAUUCCUGGUGUAGCGGUGGAAUGCGCAGAUAUCAGGAGGAACACCGAUGGCGAAGGCAGGUCUCUGGGCCACUACUGACGCUGAGAAGCGAAAGCAUGGGGAGCGAACAGG
This 253-nucleotide ribosomal RNA is filed under the name uncultured bacterium. Its description in RNAcentral is "partial 16S ribosomal RNA". It matches the Rfam family "Bacterial small subunit ribosomal RNA", at positions 524 to 776 of the family's 1533-position model. The record is from RNAcentral.